This 562-nucleotide unclassified non-coding RNA is filed under the name Hevea brasiliensis (rubber tree). Lineage: Eukaryota; Viridiplantae; Streptophyta; Magnoliopsida; Malpighiales; Euphorbiaceae. The record is from RNAcentral.
UUUUUUUUUUUUUUGAGGAAUUUCUUGUACUGCAUAAAUCUUUUUGUUUGGUUUCUGAUAACAAAUUGAACUAGGAAAUUCUGUAGUUUUAGCACUUAUUCAAUUUUGGGAGUACUGGAAUGUGAUAAAAGAUAAGGAGGCAGGAUCAUUAUACUACUAAAUUAGGGCAAGAACGAUUCUCUAGGUGGGCAAUUGUUAGUUCUUUUGUGUUCUAAUGGGGAAAAUUAGCUAAGUUAAAAACAGUGAAUUAUUGAUUGUGAUUAAAUGUGGCUGUGUUGGUAAGUUGGUAUUGAUUAGCACUGUAUUGUGAUUCAGUUGAGUUGAAUAAUGCAACUAACUGCAUCAAAAUGAAUUUCAAGCUAUGUAUUAUGGAGAUCAUACACAUAGAUGCUUGCUUAUAGACCAAUGGGAUAAAUUUUCGUAUUUGCUUUCUUUAACAUUUUUUUCACCAUGGCUCUACUUAUUCGUUGUGGUAAUUGUUCUUUUUCUUCUUCUUGAUACUUCCUACAUGAGAUGCAGGACAAUCAAGGGUGUAAUUUGCUUUGGAGAUUUUUUUUUUUUU